Long non-coding RNA from Mangifera indica (mango), 2545 nucleotides. RefSeq lists it as uncharacterized. The record is from RefSeq and is a predicted model, not a curated record. NCBI's taxonomy places the organism in Eukaryota, Viridiplantae, Streptophyta, Magnoliopsida, Sapindales, Anacardiaceae. The transcript has 8 exons.
CUUGUACUGUUAUUAUUCAUUCAAUAAAAGCAUCUCUGGAUUUCUCUGGAACCUCUCUCUCUCCUCUUCCUUUUCUUGGUAUGUAGAUUUAGGGUUUCCGCCAAGUUUUCUUGUUUUUCCUUGAAGUUUCGUUUCUUGAGCUGAGUCUUGGCACUUUUCAGCUAUUUUUGUUGAUUUGGAAGUGCUUUUUGAAGGAAACUACUUUUUUUUAUCUGUUUUGACUACUAUCUAAUUGAACACUUGCUCCGGAGGCCUUUAAGACAUAGCUCUUUUUCACAACCGAGAAGGCAAGAAAUAUUGCAAAGGCAGCAAGAAGACUAACAGCUCAAUCUUCCCAAGAAACUGGAAAAACUAUACCCAUUUUGGAUAUCAGAUUGUUUGAAUGACGCGGGCAUUGAAGAAAUCGUGAAAGAAGCACAACACAGGUGGCUUCUUUUUUGUCAUUAAGUUGCAAAGGCUUUGAGAGUUUAGGAAGGAUGACCACGUGUGGAGUAAAAGGAAAAAGAAAGAUGCAAAGCCGGUGCAUGAGUUUAUUAAAAUUUCAAGGGAACAUGUAGGCAUAGUACUUCUUCACUAAAGGGAAGACAAGAGGAUAACGUUAGAUCACAUCAUAUAGAGUCAUGUUUUGAGUCUUACUCUUUUAUAUAUAUUUUUUCUAAUACAAACAAGAAAACCCAAAAGAUCAUAAACAUGACAAGAAGACAACCAAAGUAACCACGUAAUCUUCCCAAGAAGUUAGAAAAGUUGUACCUCUUAAUUGUAAGCGUGAUGUAAUUUUAACGAGUAUUUUAAUAUUUAUUUAAUUUUGCAUUGUUUCAUUUUUAUUGUGGAUCUUGCUGAUAAUUUUGAUAGCGCUACAAUUAAAAGUUUUCAUACAAGAUAUGAAAACCUGUUGUCUUAGAGUUGUUUUAACAACUAUAUAAUUGAAAUUUCAUUGGAAGAAGUAACAAAAAAUCUGUUUUUAUAUAGGUUUCUUUCCCACAUAAGUUCUUGUAUUGAUUCCAGAGGUUUUUUUUUUCCUUUGAAUUGAAACAAUCCAUUGCUACCCUAAAGGUGCUUAUCCCUUAGCCCUAAACAAAAAAUCUGUUUUUUAUAGGUUUCUUUCCAACACAAGUUCUUGUAUUGAUUCCAGAGUUUUUUUUCUUUUUUUGAAUUGAAACAAUCCAUUGCUACCCUAAAAGUGUUUAUCCAAAAUUUUGUUGCAUAAUUUUGCAAAAGCUUUAAUUUUGACUCAAGAAACUUGGUACAAGUGAAGGUGGGUUUACGGUUUUAGAUGUAGAAGUGAUACAUUUUGCAGUUACACUUGGUUAUAUUUUGGCUUUUCAAGACAUAUUUGGUGCUGCAAAAAUAGAUAUAAAUUUAAGUAAUGAGAAUGAAUUUUCAACUUUUUAUUAGGCAACAAAGUAUGAGAGGUAAAACUCUUUAGGCUACUUUACCUUUGUGGGUGGCACCAAAUAUGUGUUAAGAGUUUUACCUUUUAUAUUUUGUUGCCCUAUGAAGGGUUGUAAAUCCAUUCUCAUCAUUUGAGUUUAUGUCUAUUUUUGGUGCACCAAUUAUGACUUGUAAGGCUAGAGUUAGCCAAGUGUAACUGUAACAUGUAUCACUUCUAUAUCUAACACCAUAAGCCUACCUCAUCUUCACCAACUUUCUUGAGCCAUAAAUGAAACUUCUAAAAUUAUGUAGUGGAAUUUUGGAUAAAUACUUUUAGAGUAGCAGUGGAUUGUUUUAAUCCCAAAAAAAAAAAAAAACUUUUAAUCAAUACAAGAACUUAUGUUGAGGAGAAACCUAUGUAAACUUUUAUACUUGAGGGGUAUAACUUUUCUAGCUUCUUAGGAAGAUUGAGGGGUUACUUUAGUGCUCCUCUUGUCAUGUUUAUGAUUUAUCUAAUUCCUGAUUUUUUCAAAAAAAAUAAAUAAAUAAAAGAGUAAGACUCAAAUAUGGCCUUGUACACAACAAUUGAAAGAUACGAUGUGAUCUAAAAUACACAUUGAUGAAACAUGUUUAAAAUGUGCAGCUGAAAUAGGUGAAAUAUUUGCCAACUAUAAAAGCCUCGAUAUACUUAUCUCUCAACAACCAGAAACACCUGCAAAAAGUUUAAGAAGGAUGGACAUGUGUGGAGCAAAAAGAAGGAUGGAAAGACUAUUCAGGAAUCUCAUGUCAACCUCAAGGCCCAAAGAAGAGAAACCCUGACGAAAUCCAGAUGCAGCAAAGGGAGAAAAUGGACCUGGGAUGUACAUGCCAGCGGCUCUAAAUAAUGAUACACAACCUAAGACUGGGAUGGAAAUAGGGGCGGUUAUGAGAAUUAAAAUGGGAGUGGGAGAGCAUUGCUGUGUAGAAAGAAUCAUGUAGAAAAAUUUGUAUUGAGAGUUUAUUUUUGGGGGGAGUACUGGCCUCUCAUAUUAGCUAGCUUAGUAUUUUCAUCUUCGUAUUGGAGUGUGUUUUUUCUGAAGCAGUUUCUAGUUUAUUCCUAUUGACAGCAUUGUAAUGAAAUGAAUUGAGGAGUGAUUGAAUAUUUCAUUGAUAAAUGAAAGAAACAUUUUCUGAU